This 253-nucleotide ribosomal RNA is filed under the name uncultured bacterium. RNAcentral's name for it is "partial 16S ribosomal RNA". It matches the Rfam family "Bacterial small subunit ribosomal RNA", at positions 524 to 776 of the family's 1533-position model. The record is from RNAcentral.
AACGUAGGAGACUAGCGUUAUCCGGAUUUACUGGGCGUAAAGCGUGUGCAGGCGGUUCGGCAAGUUGGAUGUGAAAUCUCCCGGCUCAACUGGGAGGGGUCGUUCAAUACUACCGAACUUGAGGGCAUCAGAGGAAGGUGGAAUUCCGGGUGUAGUGGUGAAAUGCGUAGAUAUCCGGAGGAACACCAGUGGCGAAGGCGGCCUUCUGGGAUGAUCCUGACGCUCAGACACGAAAGCUAGGGUAGCAAACGGG